RNAcentral lists this long non-coding RNA (1129 nucleotides) under Setaria italica (foxtail millet). RNAcentral describes it as "long non-coding RNA (SITA_LNC000406)". The record is from RNAcentral. Lineage: Eukaryota; Viridiplantae; Streptophyta; Magnoliopsida; Poales; Poaceae.
GAGAAUGAGCAUAAUGGAGGAGGUGCUGCCUGUUACCUAUCGGAUUUGACAGAUUUAUUUCCUUAUUCCUGGGCUGACCUGUUUGGCUGCACAUGGAAUUGGAAAUCGUCUUUCCGGUGAUUUCUGCAGGCUAAUUUCCUUACCUGCGACACCUUCUGAGCCUAAAACGAAGAAAUCGAAUCCAUCCGACUCACCUCCCCUCUCGACUUGCCUCCCUUCCCUGAUGCCGCGCCGCCUCCCUCUCCCGACUCCCCUCCAUCUCGACGUCGCACCCCCUCAUCCGCCACCUCCUCCAGCACCCCCUCCUCGCCUCCUCCUGACUCGCCUCACCCUCGUGCUGCCGCCGCCCCCGACUCCGACUCCUCGAGCGCUGCGCCGCCGCCUCCCGCGCCACGACCCCUCGCGACCACCUCCUCGACAGUGAGGUAAACCUCCUCUAGUUUCCCUCCUCCAUCUCGCUCUCCGCAUCACCCCUUACUUUUUUCUUCCUCACCGGCUCACCCCUUCCCCUUGAACAAGCCGCAGAUCUGCUGGGAGGCACCACCGGCAAGCAGGCUGGGAGUAGCGGCAACGGCGGCUGCCCCAUCCACAUCUCUAUGGACGGCAUCUUCAACAUUCCGACUACGCGCGUGCUCUCCACUAGCAAACAAUCCCUUCUGCCCAUUCCCUGUGCUACUUGAGUCAGCAAAGAAACUACUAGUUAGUUGCAUCAUAUUCUCACUGUCAAAUUGGAAGACCAUUGCUCUUGCUCCUACUAGUAGACCGCACUUUCCACAAAAUGCGACACACGAAUUUGUUAAUUUUGCUGUAAUUCUGCUGUCAAAUCGAAAGGCCAUCCUCUUGCUCUAAACAGUUUCUGCAAUUUCGUGCACUAUCGAUUGCUAGUGCUAAUUACAUGGAGGGCCUUUGGUGCUUCUCUGCUAGUGCUAAUUAUAUGUGACAUGCUCUUAGAUUCUUCAUCCUGUGUGCUGCCAUUAGUUUAAAUUUGGUAGAAGCUGAAAUCUCUUCGUAGAUCAUUAUGUGCUGCCAUUCUGAUAUCCUGUGGAGUUGCAUAUCAACUACAGUAAUGCGAAAACUUGUCAGUUCGUUAAAUAGAGAUGUGACUCUACUUUUCUUACAGUGAGAUGAC